Molecule: small nuclear RNA, 104 nt
Organism: Protopterus annectens (West African lungfish)
Lineage: Eukaryota; Metazoa; Chordata; Ceratodontiformes; Protopteridae
Source: RefSeq, a predicted model, not a curated record
GUUGGCAGCACAUACAGUAUAUUAAAAUCUAAACUAUACAGAGAAGAUUAGCAAGGCCCCUGCGCAAGGAUGACACACAAAUUCAAGAUUUGUUCUAUAUUUUA